UAACCUGCCCAAGAGAUCGGGAUAACACCUGGAAACAGAUGCUAAUACCGGAUAACAACAGAUGAUGCCUAUCAACUGUUUAAAAGAUGGUUCUGCUAUCACUAUUGGAUGGACCUGCGGUGCAUUAGCUAGUUGGUAGGGUAACGGCCUACCAAGGCGAUGAUGCAUAGCCGAGUUGAGAGACUGAUCGGCCACAUUUGGGACUGAGACACGGCCCAAACUCCUACGGGAGGCAGCAGUU
RNAcentral lists this ribosomal RNA (241 nucleotides) under uncultured Lactobacillus sp. RNAcentral describes it as "partial 16S ribosomal RNA". It matches the Rfam family "Bacterial small subunit ribosomal RNA", at positions 122 to 355 of the family's 1533-position model. Lineage: Bacteria; Bacillati; Bacillota; Bacilli; Lactobacillales; Lactobacillaceae. The record is from RNAcentral.